UACGUAGGUGGCGAGCGUUGUCCGGAAUUACUGGGUGUAAAGGGCGUGUAGGCGGGAUAGCAAGUCAGAUGUGAAAUUCCACGGCUUAACUGUGGGGCUGCAUCUGAAACUGCUGUUCUUGAGUGCUGGAGAGGAAAGCGGAAUUCCUAGUGUAGCGGUGAAAUGCGUAGAUAUUAGGAGGAACACCAGUGGCGAAGGCGGCUUUCUGGACAGUAACUGACGCUGAGGCGCGAAAGCGUGGGGAGCAAACAGG
Molecule: ribosomal RNA, 253 nt
Filed under: uncultured Clostridiales Family III bacterium
Lineage: Bacteria; Bacillati; Bacillota; Clostridia; Eubacteriales; Eubacteriales Family III. Incertae Sedis
Description: partial 16S ribosomal RNA
Rfam family: Bacterial small subunit ribosomal RNA
Source: RNAcentral